UUGGUCAUUUAGAGGAAGUAAAAGUCGUAACAAGGUCUCCGUUGGUGAACCAGCGGAGGGAUCAUUACCGAGUUUACAACUCCCAAACCCCUGUGAACAUACCUAUACGUUGCCUCGGCGGAUCAGCCCGCGCCCUGUAAAAAGGGACGGCCCGCCCGAGGACCCUAAACUCUGUUUUUAGUGGAACUUCUGAGUAAAACAAACAAAUAAAUCAAAACUUUCAACAACGGAUCUCUUGGUUCUGGCAUCGAUGAAGAACGCAGCAAAAUGCGAUAAGUAAUGUGAAUUGCAGAAUUCAGUGAAUCAUCGAAUCUUUGAACGCACAUUGCGCCCGCCAGUAUUCUGGCGGGCAUGCCUGUUCGAGCGUCAUUUCAACCCUCAAGCUCAGCUUGGUGUUGGGACUCGCGGUAACCCGCGUUCCCCAAAUCGAUUGGCGGUCACGUCGAGCUUCCAUAGCGUAGUAAUCAUACACCUCGUUACUGGUAAUCGUCGCGGCCACGCCGUAAAACCCCAACUUCUGAAUGUUGACCUCGGAUCAGGUAGGAAUACCCGCUGAACUUAAGCAUAUCAAUAAG
RNAcentral lists this ribosomal RNA (575 nucleotides) under uncultured fungus. RNAcentral's name for it is "eukaryotic LSU rRNA". The stretch from base 216 to 369 matches the Rfam family "5.8S ribosomal RNA". Lineage: Eukaryota; Fungi. The record is from RNAcentral.